AGAGUUUGAUCCUGGCUCAGAAUGAACGCUGGCGGCGUGCCUAACACAUGCAAGUCGGAUGUGCCCGCGAGGGUGCAUGGCAGACGGGUGAGUAACGCGUGGGGAACCUACCUCUUUGUGGGGAAUAACGCUCCGAAAGGAGUGGUAAUACCGCAUGAGACCGCAGACUGGGAUGUUUGCGGUGAAACCUGGGGACCGAAAGGCCUGGGGCAAGGAGAGGGUCCUGCGUCUGAUUAGCUAGUUGGUGGGGUAACGGCCUACCAAGGCAACGAUCAGUAGCCGGCCUGAGAGGGUGAUCGGCCACACUGGAACUGAGACACGGUCCAGACUCCUACGGGAGGCAGCAGUGGGGAAUUUUGCGCAAUGGGCGAAAGCCUGACGCAGCAACGCCGCGUGGGUGACGAAGGUCUUCGGAUCGUAAAACCCUGUCGUCAGGGACGAAGGUCAUCUGUUGAAUAGACGGGUGGCUUGACGGUACCUGGAGAGGAAGCCCCGGCUAACUCUGUGCCAGCAGUCGCGGUAAUACAGAGGGGGCAAGCGUUAUUCGGAAUUAUUGGGCGUAAAGGGCGCGUAGGCGGUUUUUUAAGUGAGAUGUGCAAUCCCCGGGCUUAACCUGGGAACUGCAUCUCAGACUGGAAGGCUAGAGUGCUGGAGAGGGUGGUGGAAUUCCACGUGUAGCGGUGAAAUGCGUAGAGAUGUGGAGGAACACCAGUGGCGAAGGCGGCCACCUGGACAGUAACUGACGCUGAGGCGCGAAAGUGUGGGUAGUAAACAGGAUUAGAUACCCUGGUAGUCCACGCUGUAAACGAUGAACACUUGGUGUGGUGGGAGUUGACCCCCGCCGUGCCGUAGCUAAUGCGAUAAGUGUUCCGCCUGGGGAGUACGGUCGCAAGGCUGAAACUUAAAGGAAUUGACCGG
Molecule: ribosomal RNA, 918 nt
Filed under: uncultured Acidobacteriaceae bacterium
Lineage: Bacteria; Pseudomonadati; Acidobacteriota; Terriglobia; Terriglobales; Acidobacteriaceae
Description: bacterial SSU rRNA
Rfam family: Bacterial small subunit ribosomal RNA
Source: RNAcentral